RNAcentral lists this ribosomal RNA (647 nucleotides) under uncultured bacterium. Its description in RNAcentral is "bacterial SSU rRNA". It matches the Rfam family "Bacterial small subunit ribosomal RNA", at positions 395 to 1044 of the family's 1533-position model. The record is from RNAcentral.
AGCCGCGUGAAGGAUGAAGGCCCUCUGGGUCGUAACUUCUUUUAUUAGGGAAGAAACCUCAAGAUGCGUCUUGAGCUGACGGUACUUAAUGAAUAAGGAUCGGCUAACUUCGUGCCAGCAGCCGCGGUAAGACGAAGGAUCCAAGCGUUGUCCGGAUUUACUGGGUUUAAAGGGUGCGUAGGCGGAAAAUUAAGUCAGUGGUGAAAGCCCGCAGCUCAACUGUGGAACUGCCAUUGAAACUGGUUUUCUUGAAUAUAGCUGAGGCAGAUGGAAUAUAACAUGUAGCGGUGAAAUGCUUAGAUAUGUUAUAGAACACCGAUUGCGAAGGCAGUCUGCUAAACUAUUAUUGACGCUGAGGCACGAAAGCGUGGGGAGCGAACAGGAUUAGAUACCCUGGUAGUCCACGCCCUAAACGUUGAUUACUCGCUGUUGGCGAUAUACUGUCAGUGGCUAAGCGAAAGCAUUAAGUAAUCCACCUGGGAAGUACGACCGCAAGGUUGAAACUCAAAGGAAUUGACGGGGGCCCGCACAAGCGGAGGAGCAUGUGGUUUAAUUCGAUGAUACGCGAGAAACCUUACCUGGGCUUAAAUGUCAGGUGACCGCUGCCGAAAGGUGGCUUCCCUUCGGGGCAACUGGCAAGGUGCUGC